This 469-nucleotide ribosomal RNA is filed under the name uncultured bacterium. RNAcentral describes it as "partial 16S ribosomal RNA". It matches the Rfam family "Bacterial small subunit ribosomal RNA", at positions 28 to 506 of the family's 1533-position model. The record is from RNAcentral.
GACGAACGCUGGCGGCGUGCUUAACACAUGCAAGUCGAACGGUGAACGAGGGAGCUUGCUCCCUCCGGAUCAGUGGCGAACGGGUGAGUAACACGUGAGCAAGCUGCCCCGAACUCUGGGAUAAGCGUGGGAAACGACUUCUAAUACCGGAUACGACGCGGUAGGGCAGCCUCUCCGCGUGGAAAGAACUUCGGUUCGGUAUGAGCUCGCGGCCUAUCAGCUUGUUGGGGAGGGACCGGCUCACCAAGGCGACGACGGGCAGCCGGCCUGAGAGGGUGACCCGCCCCACUGGGCCUGAGACACGGCCCAGACUCCUACGGGAGGCAGGAGUGGAGACCUUUGCACACUGGGCGCCAGCCUGAUGCAGCACCGCCGCGUGGGGGACGACGGCCUUCGGGUUGUAAACCUCUUUUAGCAGGGAAGAAGCGAAAGUGACGGUACCUGCAGAAAAAGCACCGGCUACCUCCGU